UACGGGAGGCAGCAGUGGGGAAUAUUGGACAAUGGGCGCAAGCCUGAUCCAGCCAUGCCGCGUGUGUGAAGAAGGCCUUCGGGUUGUAAAGCACUUUUGUCCGGAAAGAAAAGCUUAGGGUUAAUAACCUUGAGUCAUGACGGUACCGGAAGAAUAAGCACCGGCUAACUUCGUGCCAGCAGCCGCGGUAAUACGAAGGGUGCAAGCGUUACUCGGAAUUACUGGGCGUAAAGCGUGCGUAGGUGGUUUUGUUAAGUCUGAUGUGAAAGCCCUGGGCUCAACCUGGGAAUGGCAUUGGAAACUGGCUUACUAGAGUGCGGUAGAGGGGUGUGGAAUUCCCGGUGUAGCAGUGAAAUGCGUAGAUAUCGGGAGGAACAUCUGUGGCGAAGGCGACACCCUGGACCAGCACUGACACUGAGGCACGAAAGCGUGGGGAGCAAACAGGGAUUAGAUACC
This 456-nucleotide ribosomal RNA is filed under the name uncultured bacterium. Its description in RNAcentral is "bacterial SSU rRNA". It matches the Rfam family "Bacterial small subunit ribosomal RNA", at positions 340 to 786 of the family's 1533-position model. The record is from RNAcentral.